GCGUGUCGUCAGCUCGUGCGUGAGAUGUUGGGUUAAGUCCCGUAACGAGCGCAACCCUUGUCCUUAGUUACCAGCACGUUAUGGUGGGCACUCUAAGGAGACUGCCGGUGACAAACCGGAGGAAGGUGGGGAUGACGUCAAGUCAUCAUGGCCCUUACGGCCUGGGCUACACACGUGCUACAAUGGUCGGUACAAAGGGUUGCCAAGCCGCGAGGUGGAGCUAAUCCCAUAAAACCGAUCGUAGUCCGGAUCGCAGUCUGCAACUCGACUGCGUGAAGUCGGAAUCGCUAGUAAUCGUGAAUCAGAAUGUCACGGUGAAUACGUUCCCGGGCCUU
RNAcentral lists this ribosomal RNA (335 nucleotides) under uncultured Pseudomonas sp. RNAcentral describes it as "bacterial SSU rRNA". It matches the Rfam family "Bacterial small subunit ribosomal RNA", at positions 1048 to 1382 of the family's 1533-position model. The record is from RNAcentral. Lineage: Bacteria; Pseudomonadati; Pseudomonadota; Gammaproteobacteria; Pseudomonadales; Pseudomonadaceae.